This 252-nucleotide ribosomal RNA is filed under the name uncultured Bacteroidales bacterium. RNAcentral describes it as "partial 16S ribosomal RNA". It matches the Rfam family "Bacterial small subunit ribosomal RNA", at positions 524 to 776 of the family's 1533-position model. The record is from RNAcentral. Lineage: Bacteria; Pseudomonadati; Bacteroidota; Bacteroidia; Bacteroidales.
UACGUAGGUGGCGAGCGUUAUCCGGAAUGAUUGGGCGUAAAGGGUGCGCAGGCGGCCUGUUAAGUCAGCGGUAAAAGCCCGGGGCUCAACCCCGGCGAGCCGUUGAAACUGGCGGGCUGGAGUUGGAGAGAAGUAUGCGGAAUGCGUGGUGUAGCGGUGAAAUGCAUAGAUAUCACGCAGAACUCCGAUUGCGAAGGCAGCAUACCGGCGCUCAACUGACGCUCAUGCACGAAAGCGUGGGUAUCGAACAGG